GAAGACCGUCUUAACGUACCUUUCAGUGUGCAUUGGAAACCUGAAGAAUAGCGAUGCUGACCUAUUACUUUUUAUGGUGCAAUUUGGAGCUGCGCAAAAGUUUGCCAUGGUUUGCUUAUGGUAGUAUAAUGCUUUUCAAAAGUAAUUUACUUCAAUAUUAAUUUAUCCAGAAAUUAGGAAAAAAUGGACUCACACGCAACAGUGCUUUAUGUGGCCUGGAGGAAUCAACGCGACGCGCGAUUAAAUCACGGCCUUCCCACAAUGCUUUGCUAACGUAACUCAGUACGCAUGUUUGUCACUGUCCUGUUCAUAUCACCUCAGGGUUCCAAUACUGAUAUUAGCUUUCCUUGCGCCCUUCGGAUCAACACAUGCCUGCACAACUAUCCACACAAGACAUUUCAAAGGAGUUUUGACAUGGUUCAUGUUUGGCCCUCCGAAACUCGUUAGCCAGACCUCCUCAUCCCACUCAUCCAAAGACUCAGAUCCUCUCCAGGUCUUUGGGAUGGUCAGGCAGGUCCUCCAGGAGAGCAGGGUUCCUCCUGUAGAUGUAAGCACUGGCAUCGUCGUCCAGAUUCACCAGCUCUGCCAGUGAGGACACACAGGUGUCGUGGUCUGUCAGCAUCCCAGGCAGGUGGGAUGACUUGCGCUGGAUACGACAGGAACGACGGACUGGUGUCAGGAACUUCAGAUCUUUGAUGGUGUUUUUUCGCUUGGAACCACUUGCACAUGCUUCAGUGUUGAUUGUUCUCUUAACACUAGAAGGGGAAAGAUAGACAGAAUUGUGUGGUUAGUUGACAGCCAUGUUCAGUUUAAUAUACAUUUCAAUAUAGAGAUGUGAAGUAGUGAUGUUCUCCAUGACCUCCAGUAUUUCCAAUAAUUGUAUGGAAGUGAUUUUAAAAUAGGUAUUUAAGAUAAGAAAUAUCACCUUUGAAGGUAUGGCGUUGUCUUCAGAUUGUAUUUCACUAUGGAGGCUCCCUCUGGUGUAGUCUCCAUCAAGCAUUCGUCAUCAUAAUCACUAUCAACUUCCUCAAUAUAACCCUUCCUUACUUUCUGCUCUGAAGCUCCCUCUCCUACUUCACUUUUCACUUCUUCAGACCUGUCAAAAUUAUUCUCAGCAAACUCAUUCCUCUCUUCAAAUCCAUAAUUUGUCUCAGCCUCCACAAUUUUCUCUUCAGAUUCCUUUUUCUCAUGUGGCUCUAAAAGAAAAAAAGAACACACCAAUGAAUAACACAUGAAUAAAGUUAACAUGAUAAAA
Oncorhynchus mykiss (rainbow trout) is the source of this 1255-nucleotide long non-coding RNA. RefSeq lists it as uncharacterized. The record is from RefSeq and is a predicted model, not a curated record. Lineage: Eukaryota; Metazoa; Chordata; Actinopteri; Salmoniformes; Salmonidae.